This 451-nucleotide ribosomal RNA is filed under the name uncultured bacterium. RNAcentral describes it as "bacterial SSU rRNA". It matches the Rfam family "Bacterial small subunit ribosomal RNA", at positions 29 to 522 of the family's 1533-position model. The record is from RNAcentral.
AACGAACGCUGGCGGCAGGCCUAACACAUGCAAGUCGAGCGCUGUAGCAAUACAGAGCGGCGCACGGGUGAGUAACACGUGGGAACGUGCCCUUUGGUUCGGAAUAACUCAGGGAAACUUGAGGCUAAUACCGGAUGAGCCCUAACGGGGAAAGAUUUAUCGCCGAAGGAGCGGCCCGCGUUGGAUUAGCUAGUUGGUGGGGUAAAAGCCUACCAAGGCGACGAUCCAUAGCUGGUGAGAGAACGACCAGCCACACUGGGACUGAGACACGGCCCAGACUCCUACGGGAGGCAGGCGGUGGGGAAUCUUGGACAAUGGGGGAAACCCUGGAUCCAGCCAUGGCCGCGUGAGUGAUGAACGGCCCUAGGGUUGUAAAACUCUUUCGGCGGGGACGAUAAUGACGGUACCCGCAGAAGAAGCUCCGGCUAACUUCGUGCCAGCAGCCGCAAGU